UACGUAGGGGGCUAGCGUUGCUCGGAAUCACUGGGCGUAAAGCGCGCGUAGGCGGAUUGCUAAGUCAGGGGUGAAAUCCUGGAGCUCAACUCCAGAACUGCCUUUGAUACUGGCGACCUUGAGUCCGGGAGAGGUGAGUGGAACUGCGAGUGUAGAGGUGAAAUUCGUAGAUAUUCGCAAGAACACCAGUGGCGAAGGCGGCUCACUGGCCCGGUACUGACGCUGAGGUGCGAAAGCGUGGGGAGCAAACAGG
RNAcentral lists this ribosomal RNA (253 nucleotides) under uncultured bacterium. RNAcentral's name for it is "partial 16S ribosomal RNA". It matches the Rfam family "Bacterial small subunit ribosomal RNA", at positions 524 to 776 of the family's 1533-position model. The record is from RNAcentral.